CGAACAGACGAGGAGCUUGCUCCUCUGACGUUAGCGGCGGACGGGUGAGUGACACGUGGAUAACCUACCUAUAAGACUGGGAUAACUUCGGGAAACCGGAGCUAAUACCGGAUAAUAUAUUGAACCGCAUGGUUCAAUAGUGAAAGACGGUUUUGCUGUCACUUAUAGAUGGAUCCGCGCCGCAUUAGCUAGUUGGUAAGGUAACGGCUUACCAAGGCAACGAUGCGUAGCCGACCUGAGAGGGUGAUCGGCCACACUGGAACUGAGACACGGUCCAGACUCCUACGGGAGGCAGCAGUAGGGAAUCUUCCGCAAUGGGCGAAAGCCUGACGGAGCAACGCCGCGUGAGUGAUGAAGGUCUUCGGAUCGUAAAACUCUGUUAUUAGGGAAGAACAAAUGUGUAAGUAACUAUGCACGUCUUGACGGUACCUAAUCAGAAAGCCACGGCUAACUACGUGCCAGCAGCCGCGGUAAUACGUAGGUGGCAAGCGUUAUCCGGAAUUAUUGGGCGUAAAGCGCGCGUAGGCGGUUUUUUAAGUCUGAUGUGAAAGCCCACGGCUCAACCGUGGAGGGUCAUUGGAAACUGGAAAACUUGAGUGCAGAAGAGGAAAGUGGAAUUCCAUGUGUAGCGGUGAAAUGCGCAGAGAUAUGGAGGAACACCAGUGGCGAAGGCGACUUUCUGGUCUGUAACUGACGCUGAUGUGCGAAAGCGUGGGGAUCAAACAGGAUUAGAUAACCUGGUAGUCCACGCCGUAAACGAUGAGUGCUAAGUGUUAGGGGGUUUCCGCCCCUUAGUGCUGCAGCUAACGCAUUAAGCACUCCGCCUGGGGAGUACGACCGCAAGGUUG
RNAcentral lists this ribosomal RNA (848 nucleotides) under uncultured Staphylococcus sp. RNAcentral describes it as "bacterial SSU rRNA". It matches the Rfam family "Bacterial small subunit ribosomal RNA", at positions 63 to 896 of the family's 1533-position model. The record is from RNAcentral. Lineage: Bacteria; Bacillati; Bacillota; Bacilli; Caryophanales; Staphylococcaceae.